GGCGCGGCCCCUCGGGAUCGCUCUGGUCUCGGGCUGCGCGCGUGCGCACUCUGCCUCAGGCCCUGCUGACUUCACUUAAUUGCCUUAGCUGCUGGCAGGAUUCCAACCUGGACAGGCUCCGGCCAGCGUCUGAAUGUCCAACCUGCCUCUGCUCGCUUCCCUCCCAGAGCCCAUGCAGUUCUCUUCGCUCGCUACCCAGCAUCCUGUGGGAAGCAGCCCUGGACCCCAGGAAGGUCUACAGAGAGCAGCUCUUCCUGGAAGAUGCAGAUUUCACCCUCUUUUUCCACUUUCCGUGACCCCUACGACCAAAGAAAGUUAAUUACCCCAUGCUGGAAUUACUGGUCUCUCUUCCAUGGGACUGUGAGCCUUUCCCCAGUCUGAGGUACAUGCGACAUGUUUGAUCAAGAAAUAUUUCCUGCCCCCUGGAAAAUGACAUUCUGAUUGGGGAAAAUAGAGCGUAUAAAUAAUAGGGGGAAAUUCCAAGAUGAGACUGACUGCAUUAAUUACCAUUUGUCGAUCCUUUCUCUGCCUUUGGGUGUUUGUUCUGCUUCUUCCAAGUCUCAGAGGACAAGAAUCAUCAUGUGUGUUUCACUUUCACCCACCUACCACCUGAUGCCCAGGUUGUGUCUGAAGAUGUGCACUAGGUGUGGGACAACUUGCUCUGGGCCAGAAGAGCGUUACUGACCUGUCCCUAAUACCCACAAGGAUAAAUGUUGGGUUCUCUUCUCAGAAGCUCCCAGACAGGUGAAAUCAAGUUCAAAGUCACAACAGUGAGGAGCGGUGAAGAAAGGCCUGCCCCUUGCAGCUCAGGUGGGGCGAAGACAACUCCGAAGUUCCCGGGAAGGUGGGCAGUGAGCUGGGCUGACGGCAGGUGAUGGAAGCCACCAGCCCC
This is a long non-coding RNA of Odocoileus virginianus texanus, 892 nucleotides long. RefSeq lists it as uncharacterized. The record is from RefSeq and is a predicted model, not a curated record. Lineage: Eukaryota; Metazoa; Chordata; Mammalia; Artiodactyla; Cervidae.